GGAUAAGCGGGAGAAAUUCCGUCUAAUACCGCGUAAUACUCCCGAAAGGCAUCUCCUGGGGUUUAAAGGGUAACACCGGCUACGGAUGGCCAUGCGGCGCAUUAGCUAGUUGGCGGGGUAACGGCCCACCAAGGCGACGAUGCGUAGGGGUUCUGAGAGGAAGGUCCCCCACACUGGUACUGAGACACGGACCAGACUCCUACGGGAGGCAGCAGUGAGGAAUAUUGGUCAAUGGGCGCGAGCCUGAACCAGCCAAGUCGCGUGAGGGAAGACGGUCCUAUGGAUUGUAAACCUCUUUUGUCGGGGAGCAAAAGACGCCACGCGUGGCGUUCCGAGAGUACCCGAAGAAAAAGCAUCGGCUAACUCCGUGCCAGCAGCCACGGUAAUACGGAGGAUGCGAGCGUUAUCCGGAUUUAUUGGGUUUAAAGGGUGCGCAGGCGGAAGAUCAAGUCAGCGGUAAAAUUGAGAGGCUCAACCUCUUCGAGCCGUUGAAACUGGUUUUCUUGAGUGAGCGAGAAGUAUGCGGAAUGCGUGGUGUAGCGGUGAAAUGCAUAGAUAUCACGCAGAACUCCGAUUGCGAAGGCAGCAUACCGGCGCUCAACUGACGCUCAUGCACGAAAGUGUGGGUAUCGAACAGGAUUAGAUACCCUGGUAGUCCACACAGUAAACG
This 670-nucleotide ribosomal RNA is filed under the name uncultured bacterium. RNAcentral's name for it is "bacterial SSU rRNA". It matches the Rfam family "Bacterial small subunit ribosomal RNA", at positions 141 to 808 of the family's 1533-position model. The record is from RNAcentral.